This is a small nuclear RNA of Molossus molossus (Pallas's mastiff bat), 108 nucleotides long. The record is from RefSeq and is a predicted model, not a curated record. Lineage: Eukaryota; Metazoa; Chordata; Mammalia; Chiroptera; Molossidae.
GUGCUCGCUUAGGCAGCAUGUAUACUAAAAAUUGGAACGAUACAGAGAAGAUUAGCAUGGCCCCUGCGUAAGGAUGACGUGCAAAUUCAUGAAGCAUUCCAUAUUAAA